CCCCGGAAGAUGGCGGGGGCUGCGGCGGCGUGCUCCUGACUGAAACUUUUCUGCGGGCAGAAGUGGUCCGGCGCGGUGCCCGUCCCUGAGGGCCUCCCGGGCACCCGGCCACCGCCCCACCCCUCUCCGCGCCAUGGAGCCCGAGCUGGCGGCCCAGAAGCAGCCCCAGCCGCGGAGGCGAAGCCGCCGGCUUCCGAGCUCUGCGCGGGCGGCGCCGCGGGGCCUUCGCCGGACAACCCCCGCCCGGAGCCUGCCGGCAGAUACUCCCUUUGGAGAGAUAGCUCCUUCACAUUUUUAACACCUGGCCCACAUUGGGACUUCACUUUGGUGCCAGUAGGACUGAGUGAAGGCGAUGAAUAACUGAAGAAAAGAAAACGAAGAGCGAAAGAUGAUGAUGUUGUACGCCUUAGCAGCCUUGAUCUGAAGACUGGAGCUUCUCAAGCAUAUUUUCCACACUCUCUGAAGCAACUGAGGAGAUAUCAGCAUUGGAGAGCAAGGCUGUUUUAUCAGGCUUGCUUUGAUCAACAAACACUUCAGCAGUAAC
Rhinolophus ferrumequinum (greater horseshoe bat) is the source of this 544-nucleotide RNA transcript. It is a transcript of the gene named neuroepithelial cell-transforming gene 1 protein-like, with no coding region annotated. The record is from RefSeq and is a predicted model, not a curated record. The transcript is spliced from 5 exons. NCBI's taxonomy places the organism in Eukaryota, Metazoa, Chordata, Mammalia, Chiroptera, Rhinolophidae.